Molecule: unclassified non-coding RNA, 400 nt
Filed under: uncultured fungus
Lineage: Eukaryota; Fungi
Description: sequence contains ITS1
Source: RNAcentral
CCGUCAAUUCCUUUAAGUUUCACCCUUGCGGGCGUACUCCCCAGGUGGAUUACUUAUCGCUUUCGCUAAGACGCUGGCUGUGUAUCGCCAACAUCGAGUAAUCAUCGUUUACAGUGUGGACUACCAGGGUAUCUAAUCCUGUUUGAUCCCCACACUUUCGUGCCUCAGCGUCAGUUACAGUCUAGUAAGCUGCCUUCGCUAUCGGUGUUCUUGACGAUAUCUAAGCAUUUCACCGCUACACCGUCAAUUCCGCCUACCUCGUCUGUACUCAAGUCUUACAGUAUCAAUGGCACCUCAAUAGUUAAGCUAUUGUAUUUCACCACUGACUUAUAAAACCGCCUACGCACCCUUUAAACCCAAUAAAUCCGGACAACGCUUGCCACCUACGUAUUACCGCGGC